UCCCUGACUCCUUGAGAGUCCUGAAGGAACGUUGAAGACGACGACGUUGAUAGGCCGGGUGUGUAAGCGCAGCGAUGCGUUGAGCUAACCGGUACUAAUGAACCGUGAGGCUUAACCUUACAACGCCGAAG
Molecule: ribosomal RNA, 131 nt
Filed under: Escherichia coli
Lineage: Bacteria; Pseudomonadati; Pseudomonadota; Gammaproteobacteria; Enterobacterales; Enterobacteriaceae
Also listed under: 2 other names
Description: partial 23S ribosomal RNA
Rfam family: Bacterial large subunit ribosomal RNA
Source: RNAcentral